This 495-nucleotide ribosomal RNA is filed under the name uncultured bacterium. RNAcentral describes it as "partial 16S ribosomal RNA". It matches the Rfam family "Bacterial small subunit ribosomal RNA", at positions 28 to 507 of the family's 1533-position model. The record is from RNAcentral.
GAUGAACGCUGGCGGCGUGCCUAAUACAUGCAAGUCGAACGCUGAAGGAGGAGCUUGCUCUUCUGGAUGAGUUGCGAACGGGUGAGUAACGCGUAGGUAACCUGCCUGGUAGCGGGGGAUAACUAUUGGAAACGAUAGCUAAUACCGCAUGACAACAGUUAUUGCAUGAUAACUGUUUAAAAGGGGCAACUGCUCCACUACCAGAUGGACCUGCGUUGUAUUAGCUAGUUGGUGAGGUAACGGCUCACCAAGGCGACGAUACAUAGCCGACCUGAGAGGGGGAUCGGCCACACUGGGACUGAGACACGGCCCAGACUCCUACGGGAGGCAGCAGUAGGGAAUCUUCGGCAAUGGACGGAAGUCUGACCGAGCAACGCCGCGUGAGUGGAGAAGGUUUUCGGAUCGUAAAGCUCUGUUGUAAGAGAAGAACGAGUGUGAGAGUGGAAAGUUCACACUGUGACGGUAUCUUACCAGAAAGGGACGGCUAACUACGUG